GACGAACGCUGGCGGCGUGCUUAACACAUGCAAGUCGAGCGGUAAGGCCCUUUCGGGGGUACACGAGCGGCGAACGGGUGAGUAACACGUGGGUGACCUGCCCUCAGCUCUGGGAUAAGCCUGGGAAACCGGGUCUAAUACUGGAUAUGACUCCAUGACGCAUGUUGUGGGGUGGAAAGCCUUGUGCGGCUGAGGAUGGGCCCGCGGCCUAUCAGCUUGUUGGUGGGGUGAUGGCCUACCAAGGCGACGACGGGUAGCCGGCCUGAGAGGGCGACCGGCCACACUGGGACUGAGACACGGCCCAGACUCCUACGGGAGGGCAGCAGUGGGGAAUCUUGCGCAAUGGGCGAAAGCCUGACGCAGCGACGCCGCGUGAGGGAUGACGGCCUCGU
This 392-nucleotide ribosomal RNA is filed under the name uncultured bacterium. RNAcentral's name for it is "bacterial SSU rRNA". It matches the Rfam family "Bacterial small subunit ribosomal RNA", at positions 28 to 420 of the family's 1533-position model. The record is from RNAcentral.